Molecule: ribosomal RNA, 344 nt
Filed under: uncultured Pseudomonas sp.
Lineage: Bacteria; Pseudomonadati; Pseudomonadota; Gammaproteobacteria; Pseudomonadales; Pseudomonadaceae
Description: bacterial SSU rRNA
Rfam family: Bacterial small subunit ribosomal RNA
Source: RNAcentral
CAUGGCUGUCGUCGGCUCGUGUCGUGAGAGUGUUCGGGUUAAGUCCCGUAACGAGCGCAACCCUUGUCCUUAGUUACCAGCACGUUAAUGGUGGGCACUCGUAAGGAGACUGCCGGUGACAAACCGGAGGAAGGCGGGAUGACGUCAAGUCAUCAUGGCCUUACGGCCUGGGCUACACACGUGCUACAAUGGUCGGUACAAAGGGUUGCCAAGACCGCGAGGUGGAGCUAAUCCCAUAAAACCGAAUCGUAGUCCGGAUCGCAGUCUGCAACUCGACUGCGUGAAGUCGGAAUCGCUAGUAAUCGUGAAAUCAGAAUGUCACGGUGAAUACGUUCCCGGGCCUU